GCCCUAGUAACGGCGAGUGAAGCGGCAACAGCUCAAAUUUGAAAUCUGGCCCCAGGCCCGAGUUGUAAUUUGUAGAGGAUGUUUCUGGUGCGGUGCCUUCCGAGUUCCCUGGAACGGGACGCCAUAGAGGGUGAGAGCCCCGUCCGGUCGUGCGCUAAGCCUAUGUGAAACUCCUUCGACGAGUCGAGUAGUUUGGGAAUGCUGCUCUAAAUGGGAGGUAUACGUCUUCUAAAGCUAAAUACCGGCCAGAGACCGAUAGCGCACAAGUAGAGUGAUCGAAAGAUGAAAAGCACUUUGAAAAGAGGGUUAAAUAGUACGUGAAAUUGCUGAAAGGGAAGCGCUUAUGACCAGACUUGGGCUCGGUGAAUCAUCCGGCGUUCUCGCCGGUGCACUUUGCCGGUCCAGGCCAGCAUCAGUUCUCGUCGGGGGAUAAAGGCGCCGGGAAUGUGGCUCCCUCGGGAGUGUUAUAGCCCGGCGUGUAAUACCCUGAUGGGGACUGAGGUACGCGCUCCGCAAGGAUGCUGGCGUAAUGGUCAUCAGCGACCCGUCUUGAAACACGGACCAAGGAGUCGUCUUCGUAUGCGAGUGUUCGGGUGUCAAACCCCUACGCGUAAUGAAAGUGAACGUAGGAGAGAGCUUCGGCGCAUCUCCGACCGAUCCUGAUGUUCUCGGAUGGAUUUGAGUAAGAGCAUACGGGGCCGGACCCGAAAGAAGGUGAACUAUGCCUGUAUAGGGUGAAGCCAGAGGAAACUCUGGUGGAGGCUCGCAGCGGUUCUGACGUGCAAAUCGAUCGUCAAAUAUGGGCAUGGGGGCGAAAGACUAAUCGAACCUUCUAGUAGCUGGUUUCCGCCGAAGUUUCCCUCAGGAUAGCAGUGUUGAGCUCAGUUUUAUGAGGUAAAGCGAAUGAUUAGGGACUCGGGGGCGCUUAUUAGCCUUCAUCCAUUCUCAAACUUUAAAUAUGUAAGAAGCUCUUGUUACUUAAUUGAACGUGAGCAUUCGAAUGUAUCAACACUAGUGGGCCAUUUUUGGUAAGCAGAACUGGCGAUGCGGGAUGAACCGAACGCGAGGUUAAGGUGCCAGAGUAGACGCUCAUCAGACACCACAAAAGGUGUUAGUACAUCUUGACAGCAGGACGGUGGCCAUGGAAGUCGGAAUCCGCUAAGGACUGUGUAACAACUCACCUGCCGAAUGUACUAGCCCUGAAAAUGGAUGGCGCUCAAGCGUCUCACCCAUACCUCGCCCUCAGGGUAGAAACGAUGCCCUGAGGAGUAGGCGGACGUGGAGGUCAGUGACGAAGCC
Molecule: ribosomal RNA, 1299 nt
Filed under: Hypocreales sp. KH00202
Lineage: Eukaryota; Fungi; Ascomycota; Sordariomycetes; Hypocreales
Description: eukaryotic LSU rRNA
Rfam family: Eukaryotic large subunit ribosomal RNA
Source: RNAcentral